AAGGAUUUAAGUUAAAUGAAACUCUUGACCUUCAAAGCCAAAAAUAGAUAAUUAAUCUAAGCCUUA
RNAcentral lists this transfer RNA (66 nucleotides) under unidentified. RNAcentral's name for it is "Adiscus speciosus tRNA-Trp". The record is from RNAcentral.